AAUUAAAAAAAAAAAACAAAUAAGAUGCUAAUAGGGGUUAACUGAAAUGCGGCGUAAAAAGGAGGGAUUAAUCGCAGAAAUUUCCCAUUAGAAGCAUGGAGGCGCGGAUCCGGGUCUGGGACUGGGUUGACGCGCGGAUCUCCUUGCACUAAACGGCACCGUUUUAUUAACAGGUUACUUAAAACCGUUUUUCCCUAUUUCCUUUCCCAAACACAACCACCAUUUUAACCAAAAAAAUUACAGCCCUAAAAUCAAGUUGUUGGGCUCAUUCCAACGACUGCCGAAUCCACCAUUUCUUUUGGUGAUCGAUGGUGCACUAGCAGCACCUAGAAGCUGUCAAAGGCCAUGCUCAAGGAGAACAGUAUUUCAGAGAUAUUUGGGAUUUCAUUGGCGUUGUUUCAUGUACACUUGCAACACCAUGAUUGAUGGAUGACGCCUUUGGAUCCCCCUUCUAACUUCGAUCUCAACGAAGUGAACAAAGGUCAAUGGCCGAUUCGCAAGGUAAGAUUUGCCUUUCCCUCCUCUUUGUUUUAAAAUGCAGAUGAUGAAAACAAUGGCAGGAAAAUAGAUAAAAAUAACAGAAAAAUUAAAAAGACUAAAGAAGAUCACCUUUUUAGAAAUUAUUUUCGAAUUUUUUAUAUUCAAUCUGCGCAUUGUGUAUGUGUCUGCGUAAGAUUACAUAGUACAUCCAGUGGCCUUUUUAUAGCCAAAAAAUGAAAAUAAAUAAAUAAAUAAAAAUCAAAUCCUUGCUGUAUUCUGUUAUCUGCUCCUUCUCGUGUGUUCUUUUGCAGGUUCAGUUGUACGGAGGAGAUGACCCAGAUGGCGUGGAGGCCGUGUGUGGGGAUCUCACGUGGGAAGCCGACCCUCUGGUGCCAUUCCAGUGUAUUCCAUGAGCUUCUGGAGUUCUUGGCUGCUGAAAUUCUUUUUUUAGGUUCUUUCGGGUUUGGGCCCUUUUGCAAAUCGGGCUAGGAAUAUUGGUCCUUGGUCCUCAGUAUACGUUUAGGCUAUUCGGGCAUUGCGCCAAAUGUAAUUGGGUCGAAUUUGUGUUUUUUAUUUUUUGGGCUAGUUUGGUGUUUAUUGAAAGGUUGUAAGUGGACUGUUUGGGCUACUUCAAUUUUAGACUUUAUUCGGCUUUUUAUUUUAA
Long non-coding RNA from Gossypium arboreum, 1144 nucleotides. RefSeq lists it as uncharacterized. The transcript has 2 exons. NCBI's taxonomy places the organism in Eukaryota, Viridiplantae, Streptophyta, Magnoliopsida, Malvales, Malvaceae. The record is from RefSeq and is a predicted model, not a curated record.